This 253-nucleotide ribosomal RNA is filed under the name uncultured bacterium. RNAcentral's name for it is "partial 16S ribosomal RNA". It matches the Rfam family "Bacterial small subunit ribosomal RNA", at positions 524 to 776 of the family's 1533-position model. The record is from RNAcentral.
UACGAAGGGGGCUAGCGUUGUUCGGAAUUACUGGGCGUAAAGCGCACGUAGGCGGAAUGUUUAGUCAGGGGUGAAAUCCCGGGGCUCAACCCCGGAACUGCCUUUGAUACUGGCAUUCUCGAGUCCGGAAGAGGUGAGUGGAAUUCCGAGUGUAGAGGUGAAAUUCGUAGAUAUUCGGAGGAACACCAGUGGCGAAGGCGGCUCACUGGUCCGGUACUGACGCUGAGGUGCGAAAGCGUGGGGAGCAAACGGG